Molecule: non-coding RNA, 111 nt
Organism: Capsicum annuum
Lineage: Eukaryota; Viridiplantae; Streptophyta; Magnoliopsida; Solanales; Solanaceae
Source: Rfam
AAACUAUUGAUGAUGUGGACAGUCCCAAAAAAGAUCUUUGAACCACUCCCAAGCAUGAUACAAAUUCUCAUCUAGCUUCUGUUUGAAACACACAAUCUCACUGCGAAGUCU